Molecule: ribosomal RNA, 433 nt
Filed under: uncultured bacterium
Lineage: Bacteria
Description: partial 16S ribosomal RNA
Rfam family: Bacterial small subunit ribosomal RNA
Source: RNAcentral
AGCGAACGCUGGCGGCAGGCCUAACACAUGCCAGUCGAACGAACUCUUCGGAGUUAGUGGCGGACGGGUGAGUAACACGUGGGAACGUGCCUUUUGGUUCGGAAUAACUCAGGGAAACUUGUGCUAAUACCGAAUGUGCCCUUCGGGGGAAAGAUUUAUCGCCAUUAGAGCGGCCGGCGUCUGAUUAGCUAGUUGGUGAGGUAACGGCUCACCAAGGCGACGAUCAGUAGCUGGUCUGAGAGGAUGACCAGCCACACUGGGACUGAGACACGGCCCAGACUCCUACGGGAGGCAGCAGUGGGGAAUCUUGCGCAAUGGGCGAAAGCCUGACGCAGCCAUGCCGCGUGAAUGAUGAAGGUCUUAGGAUUGUAAAAUUCUUUCACCGGGGACGAUAAUGACGGUACCCGGAGAAGAAGCCCCGGCUAACUUCGUG